UAGUAGCGGCGAGCGAGCGGGAAGAGCUCAAAUUUAUAAUCUGGCACCUUCGGUGUCCGAGUUGUAAUCUCUAGAAGUGUUUUCCGCGUUGGACCGCACACAAGUCUGUUGGAAUACAGCGGCAUAGUGGUGAAACCCCCGUAUAUGGUGCGGACGCCCAGCGCUUUGUGAUACACUUUCAAUGAGUCGAGUUGUUUGGGAAUGCAGCUCAAAUUGGGUGGUAAAUUCCAUCUAAAGCUAAAUAUUGGCGAGAGACCGAUAGCGAACAAGUACCGUGAGGGAAAGAUGAAAAGCACUUUGGAAAGAGAGUUAACAGUACGUGAAAUUGUUGGAAGGGAAACGCUUGAAGUCAGACUUGCUUGCCGGAGCUUGCUUCGGUUUGCAGGCCAGCAUCAGUUUUCCGGGGUGGAUAAUGACGGUUUGAAGGUAGCAGUCUCGGCUGUGUUAUAGCUUUCCGUUGGAUACGCCCUGGGGGACUGAGGAACGCAGCGUGCUUUUUGCGAAAGACUCGUCUUUUUCACGCUUAGGAUGCUGGUGGAAUGGCUUUAAACGACCCGUCUUGAAACCACGGAC
RNAcentral lists this ribosomal RNA (573 nucleotides) under Rhodotorula diobovata. RNAcentral describes it as "eukaryotic LSU rRNA". It matches the Rfam family "Eukaryotic large subunit ribosomal RNA", at positions 81 to 666 of the family's 3401-position model. The record is from RNAcentral. Lineage: Eukaryota; Fungi; Basidiomycota; Microbotryomycetes; Sporidiobolales; Sporidiobolaceae.